This 301-nucleotide ribosomal RNA is filed under the name uncultured bacterium. Its description in RNAcentral is "partial 16S ribosomal RNA". It matches the Rfam family "Bacterial small subunit ribosomal RNA", at positions 509 to 807 of the family's 1533-position model. The record is from RNAcentral.
CAGUCGCCGCGGUAAUACGUAGGGUGCGAGCGUUAAUCGGAAUUACUGGGCGUAAAGCGUGCGCAGGCGGUUUUGUAAGACAGGCGUGAAAUCCCCGGGCUCAACCUGGGAAUGGCGCUUGUGACUGCAAAGCUAGAGUGCGGCAGAGGGGGAUGGAAUUCCGCGUGUAGCAGUGAAAUGCGUAGAUAUGCGGAGGAACACCGAUGGCGAAGGCAAUCCCCUGGGCCUGCACUGACGCUCAUGCACGAAAGCGUGGGGAGCAGACAGGAUUAGAUACCCCCGUAGUCCCUGUCUCUUAUAC